UUCCAGGUUUCCUUGGGACCUGUCAGCUAUGGCAGUCUCCCCUCCUAGCCAUGGAAGAGCAUAUCCUUGUUUAUUGGCAAAGCUGCCACCAUUUAAUUGGUAUCAGAUUCUGACGCACAAGUAACAUGC
RNAcentral lists this small nucleolar RNA (129 nucleotides) under Carlito syrichta (Philippine tarsier). RNAcentral's name for it is "Small nucleolar RNA SNORA24 (ENSTSYG00000021748.2)". It matches the Rfam family "Small nucleolar RNA SNORA24". Rfam says of the family: ACA24 is a member of the H/ACA class of snoRNA that guide the sites of modification of uridines to pseudouridines. Lineage: Eukaryota; Metazoa; Chordata; Mammalia; Primates; Tarsiidae. The record is from Rfam by way of RNAcentral.